Long non-coding RNA from Helianthus annuus (common sunflower), 155 nucleotides. RefSeq lists it as uncharacterized. The record is from RefSeq and is a predicted model, not a curated record. The transcript has 3 exons. NCBI's taxonomy places the organism in Eukaryota, Viridiplantae, Streptophyta, Magnoliopsida, Asterales, Asteraceae.
AAACUCUCAAAACAUCCUCCAAACCGUAGCUGAAAGCAAAGAGAAACAAGGUGCUCCAACUAGCUAAUUCAACCACCAACUUGCUCUCGGAUUCUCAAGUCACAACUUGUAAACCGUUGAUGAGGAAGAUGCUAAGAAAAGAAGUAGCGUUGAUG